This 67-nucleotide transfer RNA is filed under the name Ophiacantha linea. RNAcentral's name for it is "tRNA-Pro". Lineage: Eukaryota; Metazoa; Echinodermata; Ophiuroidea; Amphilepidida; Ophiacanthidae. The record is from RNAcentral.
GAGAGGGUAGUUUAUAUAAAACAUAGACUUUGGGAGUCUAAAAAGUAAAGUUAACUUUAUUCCUUUA